GGGCAGGUUGCCGAGUGGUCAAAGGCGGCAGACUGUAAAUCUGCUCCCUCAGGGUUCGGAGGUUCGAAUCCUCCCCUGCCCA
This 82-nucleotide transfer RNA is filed under the name Rhodothermales bacterium. RNAcentral describes it as "tRNA-Tyr". It matches the Rfam family "tRNA". Rfam says of the family: Transfer RNA (tRNA) molecules are approximately 80 nucleotides in length. Lineage: Bacteria; Pseudomonadati; Rhodothermota; Rhodothermia; Rhodothermales. The record is from RNAcentral. RNAcentral also lists the same sequence under 2 other names.